AAAAUUAUUGCAUCACAUCCCUUAAGGAGAACAUCAAUAUGUUGAAGAGCUGCUUUUAGUGGCCAUAAGCAAAACAGCAUUACUCCCUUAUGUUUUGCAAUUUUGGGUUUUUUUGAAAUUUGGUUUUGGUUUUUGUUUUUCUUAGCUAGAAAACACGCAGUUGUGUGUUACCUUUCCCUUCUGAUUUUUUGAUAUUUUCUUGUUCUGUGCUUUUGUUGGUUUUUG
Molecule: unclassified non-coding RNA, 225 nt
Filed under: Hevea brasiliensis (rubber tree)
Lineage: Eukaryota; Viridiplantae; Streptophyta; Magnoliopsida; Malpighiales; Euphorbiaceae
Source: RNAcentral